UACGUAGGGGGCGAGCGUUGUCCGGAUUUAUUGGGCGUAAAGAGCGUGUAGGCGGCCCGAUUAGUCCGCUGUGAAAGUCCAGGGCUCAACCCUGGAAUGCCGGUGGAUACUGUCGGGCUAGAGUCCGGAAGGGGCGAGUGGAAUUCCUGGUGUAGCGGUGAAAUGCGCAGAUAUCAGGAGGAACACCAAUGGCGAAGGCAGCUCGCUGGGACGUGACUGACGCUGAGACGCGAAAGCGUGGGGAGCAAACAGG
RNAcentral lists this ribosomal RNA (253 nucleotides) under uncultured bacterium. RNAcentral describes it as "partial 16S ribosomal RNA". It matches the Rfam family "Bacterial small subunit ribosomal RNA", at positions 524 to 776 of the family's 1533-position model. The record is from RNAcentral.